UGGAGGCAGCAGUAAGGAAUAUUGGACAAUGGAGGCAACUCUGAUCCAGCCAUGCCGCGUGAAGGAUGAAGGCGCUCAGCGUUGUAAACUUCUUUUGAAUGGGAACAGAUGGCCCGACGUGUCGGGUCUUGAGGGUACCAUUAGAAUAAGCACCCGCUAACUCCGUGCCAGCAGCCGCGGUAAUACGGAGGGUGCAAGCGUUAUCCGGAAUCACUGGGUUUAAAGGGUGCGUAGGCGGUCUUAUAAGUCAGUCGUGAAAUCGUUGGGCUUAACCCAUACAAUUGCGAUUGAUACUGUUUGACUUGAAUCAGGUUGAGGUCGGCGGAAUGUGACAUGUAGCGGUGAAAUGCUUAGAUAUGUCAUAGAACACCGAUUGCGAAGGCAGCUGGCUGGGCCUGAAUUGACGCUGAGGCACGAAAGCGUGGGGAGCAAACAGGAUUAGAUACCCCUGUAGUCG
This 457-nucleotide ribosomal RNA is filed under the name uncultured bacterium. RNAcentral describes it as "bacterial SSU rRNA". It matches the Rfam family "Bacterial small subunit ribosomal RNA", at positions 343 to 796 of the family's 1533-position model. The record is from RNAcentral.